RNAcentral lists this unclassified non-coding RNA (1640 nucleotides) under Hevea brasiliensis (rubber tree). The record is from RNAcentral. Lineage: Eukaryota; Viridiplantae; Streptophyta; Magnoliopsida; Malpighiales; Euphorbiaceae.
UUUUUUUUUUUUUUUCAAAGGAAAAAGCCUGUAAAUUUCAUUCUUAGAUAUAUCCCAGUCUAAGGAGAAGCAGAUCUUUGAACAUUCAAAACUUCCUCUACUUGGGACAUUGACAACAAAAGGAUAUACACCUCCAUAGUGCAUUAGAGACCUUAUAUUUUUUAUAAUCUAUAAAAGUGCAAUUAAACCCUUCAUGGUUUGUUUUGUUCAAUUGACUACAUAAGUUGUAUUUAUUGAGCUAUUAUAUAUAUAUAAAGGGUUCAAGAAAAAACAAAUCAUGAAAGGUUCAAUAGCAUAUUUGUGAUAAAUGUCAGAUCAUUUGGACUUGGAAUAAGGUUGUUAUACAGAAACUUGAGAAGUGUUAUUAAAGGUGCGCUUGAGGCACAAGGCGCAAGCCUUGACACGUCCUGAAGGCAAAGUCAGCGACCUUGAGGAGGUGACCCUAGAUGCACAUCUCACACCGUGCAUCGGGCAUGUUUCUCCCCACAAAUUUUUUUUUUAAUUGUAACAUAACACAGCCACACACAUAAAAUAAAUAAAGACAAGAAAAAAGAUGAUCUCUAUGUGUUACAAUCCAAAAAUAAAAAGAUUUUUUUUGUCUAGACCUAAUCCACCAUGAAUCCAAGACACAAAAUUUAUGGUGGGAUCCUCCUUUUAAAUGCAUAGGUUCUACAUAUUAGUGUCUAGGGUUCAUAAUAAAUCGGGUCUAUACAAAAAUUUCUCCAAAAAAACAAGUAAGAACCUGUGAAGAACUUGGACAUUUUUUUAUUGUUGCAUCCUGCUAGUGCAAUUGAACUAAACUAGGUAUGAGAGUUACCUUUUUCCUUUUUUCUUUCUUCCUUCACUCCUCUUUCUCCCCCAACCACCUGAUUUUCCUCUUUCUCUUCCUUUCCUUUCCUUCUUUAGUAAUCCUUUACUUCUACAUUUCUCUCCCCUUCUACGUUUCUCUCCUCAACCAGUCACUCACUUGGGUUUCUGAAUGGGGUGUUUUCAUUUUUUGUAUUUUUUUUUUAAUUUUUUUCUCAUUUUAAAUUUAAUCUUUCGAUAUCUAUCCUUUGCACCUAGUCACCAAUAGUAAUUUUUAUUUCAGGUCUGCAUGACUAUGAAUUUCUUGUGGUGUUUGUUUUAAUUUUUUUUUUUUUUUUUGGUUUUGAUUCUUUUUGGGUGAUUAUGUGUUGAUGAAUCAAUACAUACAAAUACAAAUGAAAGUUCUUUGUUUUUUGUUCAUGGUCUUAAAUUUCUUUAAUUCUCUUAAUUAAUUUUCUUUCUCCUUUUCACAUGAUUUGUUAGUUUCAUCUGUGGAUAAUUCAUCUCUCUACAUUUGGCAAAAUAGCCGAAUAUCCAUGCAGAUAAAGAGCAGUGCAAAAAGGCACACAAAGGAAAGAAACCGCGUCUUUUUUUAGAUAGCAUGUGAAAAGGGAGAGGGACAGAGGCAGAGCAGUUGAAAGGAUGACGCACAGAACUGUAAAUCUAUAGUCGGAAGGAAGCCAAAUAAACUAAAUAAGCUGCCCAGUAGAUCUACAGGGAAAUUACGAACUUUGAUGUAUUGUUAUGCAUUGUUUAUUUCUAUAUGAUACGCCAUAAAUUUCAAUUCAAUUGAGAAUGCUUAUCAUUUGAAGCCAAGUUCCAAGGUACUAGGU